RNAcentral lists this ribosomal RNA (870 nucleotides) under Shouchella clausii. RNAcentral describes it as "bacterial SSU rRNA". It matches the Rfam family "Bacterial small subunit ribosomal RNA", at positions 61 to 904 of the family's 1533-position model. The record is from RNAcentral. Lineage: Bacteria; Bacillati; Bacillota; Bacilli; Caryophanales; Bacillaceae.
GUCGAGCGGACAGAUGGGAGCUUGCUCCCUGAUGUUAGCGGCGGACGGGUGAGUAACACGUGGGCAACCUGCCCGUUAGACUGGGAUAACUCCGGGAAACCGGAGCUAAUACCGGAUAAUCCCUUUCUCCACCUGGAGAGAGGGUGAAAGAUGGCUUCGGCUAUCACUUAGGGAUGGGCCCGCGGCGCAUUAGCUAGUUGGUGAGGUAACGGCUUACCAAGGCGACGAUGCGUAGCCGACCUGAGAGGGUGAUCGGCCACACUGGGACUGAGACACGGCCCAGACUCCUACGGGAGGCAGCAGUAGGGAAUCUUCCGCAAUGGACGAAAGUCUGACGGAGCAACGCCGCGUGAGUGAGGAAGGUUUUCGGAUCGUAAAGCUCUGUUGUGAGGGAAGAACCGGUGCCGUUCAAAUAGGGCGGUACCUUGACGGUACCUCACCAGAAAGCCACGGCUAACUACGUGCCAGCAGCCGCGGUAAUACGUAGGUGGCAAGCGUUGUCCGGAAUUAUUGGGCGUAAAGGGCGCGCAGGCGGCUUCUUAAGUCUGAUGUGAAAUCUCGCGGCUCAACCCCGAGCGGUCAUUGGAAACUGGGGGAGCUUGAGUGCAGAAGAGGAGAGUGGAAUUCCACGUGUAGCGGUGAAAUGCGUAGAGAUGUGGAGGAAACACCAGUGGCGAAGGCGACUCUCUGGUCUGUAACUGACGCUGAGGCGCGAAAGCGUGGGGGAGCGAACAGGAUUAGAUACCCUGGGUAGUCCACGCCGUAAACGAUGAGUGCUAAGUGUUAUGGGGUUUUCCAUGCCCCUAGUGCCGCAGCUAACACAUUAAGCACUCCGCCCUGGGGGAGUACGGUCGCAANGCUGAAACUCAA